ACCUUCCCAGAGAAGAUGUCUUGCGCCUCACCUGAUCUUGUUCUGAGAGUAGGAGACUGGAAGAGAAGCGUUCAACUCCCCAAACACAGCUGGGUUUGUUUCGUUUAAUCUCCCAGCCUGUUUUUCUGCUGUCCUCCUGAAGAAUGUUUAAUCUCACAGUUAAAACCACCAAAAGCGACUUUUUUCCCCCUCAACUGCUCAGUAACACGUGACCGUGCAAAUUCUUUUGGCCCCAGCGCCACAAGUCAUAAAAGGCAUCUAGUGGGCGGCAUGAGUCAAUUUCCAUCAGGCCUUUGGACGGUGACGUAACCACAGCUUGUCAGUUUCCCCAUCCAGGCAGCCCCAAUUCCCCAGUGCAGACAUCUGGAGCCAGGGAUUGACAAGUGGAUUCCAGGACUGGGCCCUGCCUCCCGCCCUGUUCAGUUCCAGCCCAGCCACGGCCGCCGCCAACGAGGACACGCACUGUCUUUCUGCACAUUCCCACGUACACACACCCCCGCAGCCCCCUCUCCACUCAUUCCUGCAUUUCCGGCAAUGUGAAUUCUGACAGCUCGGGCAGUGUCAGCCUCUCCAGUGCAUUCCUCACCACAGCACCUCACUGCUCCCGAGCCUGCUGACAGCACUCCCCGCCAUACCUACCAAGCUGAAGGUGCAAGGAACCUCUUGAUCCCCACUGUGUCUUUGUCCCAGGGCCACAGCAAAAUAGCACCCCCCCUCCCCCACACACCCUCUAGCCUAAUUUAUUGGACUUUUAAACACAUUUAUUUACUGUGGUAUCUACACCACACCAAACAUCUGGAGGGAAACCGGGAGACAAUCCACCAGGAAUUUAAAUGUUUGUUCUGCAAUGUAACUUUGAAAACCGAACCAGGAAAACUUGACAUCUUUAGCCAAUUGCUUGGUGGUGAGUAGACUUAAGUCAAUAUAUAAUCUGUAAAUGUUGUCCCCUUUGCCCUCUCUCUAUCCAUGAAACUCAUUCACCAAACAGCCCAGAAAUAUUUCUUUCUUCUCCUCUCAGAGGUACGUGAAACCAACCUGAAUCAACAACAUAGUUGUUCAGCCAGCCUCACUGAGAACGAAGGCAUUUCAGAGCUGGAAAGACGCUAGGGUCUGGGGUCUUAUCUUCCACAUUUAUCUGCCUUAUGAUAAUCCAUCCAGUCAUCCUCUUUGCCCUUGCCAGAUCUCAUCGCUUACACUACCACUACCGAAGGAGCAUACCGUCUGUGACUUUUCCUUUUUUUUUUUUUUUUUUUUUGAGACGGAGUCUCGCUCUGUAACCGGGCUGAAGUGCAGUGGCGGGAUCUUGGCUUACUGCAACCUCUGCUUCCUGGGUUCAAGUGAUUCUCCUGCCUCAGCCUUCUGAGUAGCUGGGACUCCAGGCAUGCGCCACCACGCCCAGUUAAUUUUUGUAUUUUUAGUAGAGAUGGGGGUUUCACUAUGUUGGCCAGGUUGGUCUCGAACUCCUGACCUCGUGAUCCAUCUGCCUCGGCCUCCCAAAGUGCUGGGAUGAGAGGCGUGAGCCACCGCACCCGGCCACGUCUGUGACUUUUCUAAAGCUUUAAGAUGAUGUCACCCAUAGGCAGAAAGGUCCACUCAUUUCGUGCAUCUGCAGUCACUCUUCUGACCAGGUGCAGCUCUCUUUUGUUCUAUCAAAGAGAAAGCCAGUCUAAAUUAAUGGGAAACUAGAGAAUUAGGUCAUUUUUCAAGAUGAAAUUGCUGGUAGCUUAAGGAAUCAGCUACUUGAAUCCCAUGCUAAAAAAAGUGUAACUCCUGAGGAGUGAGCUCUUCUUUCUUCCUUCCAUAAUGUCAGGCACUAAGGGAGGUUCAGAAACACAGAGCAGCAUCUACUCCUUUCUCAACGAGCGUGGGGUCCAGUGCAGUUGGCCCUCAUUUAACAAAUAAUUACACCCAUGCGUGAAAGGCCCAGUGGGGAAACAGUGCGGGGAGCCCCAGGCAGAGCUGAUUCAGGCCUGGGGAGGCACGUGAGCCAAAUGUUCAGGGUCCACAGGCCCAGCGGAGUGAUACGGAAGUUUCCAAGAUGGUAAGCCUCUCUCCUGGCCCAUGCUCACCAACGGGACCCCAUUCCUAACCAGGCUUUCCCUCUCUCUCUUUUAAGUGUUCCAGGAAUGUUCCUACCCCUGCGUCUUUGCUGAAGCCCCUCUUGCCUGGGAUGCCCUCUGUCCUCUCUUUCUGCCCACACACAUCCUGCCAGUCCUUCAGACAGAGCCAGCCUCACGGGCUUAGGACCUGAGCAGUUUCACAGGGCCCUGCACAGAAGGAUCCCAAGCUCAGUUGAUUGCUCCGAUCUUGCCAUCUUGAAACUCUUUGAUAAUUUUAUCUUUUAUCUUGUGUUUUGGGAGUGAAAUCCAAUGGGAUAUUGGGGCCUGCAAAGGAGAAGAGGAGAUCCGCACAAACCCGUUCCUGGCUGCUGCAUUCACCUCCAGCGUUUGUGAUGCCCCAGAGCACAGAACUCCAGGGAGCCCACGAUGCAGGAGAGUUCAGCGACAUUCACUGAGUACAAGAGAAGACUGUUGGGAGGCACCAAUGGACUUUGCAACUGGAGAUCUCCGAACUGGACCAUGUCACUGUUAUGUUUAAUUUGCACUGUGCACAGUAGGUACCCAGUCAAUGCUUGUCGAAUUCCAUGGACUGGGCCUUAUACCUCCGAGGAUUUUUCACAGCAGUAGCAUGUGCACAUGCACAGAGCAAGAACACAACCAAUGCUUGUUUGCUGGUGAAGACCUGGUCUCAGUAUUUGGCCCAGGAAACCCAUUCUUCAUGGACAGCAUGAGGCAAGCUAUGGCCCUUGCUGUGGUCUCAGUGGUUCAGCACGGAAGAUGAAGAUGACGGACAGUCUCAGAAUAUUAGCUUUAGAAGGGACUUUGGAUCCUUUUGAUUUUGGUAGGUGAAAUACUUUUUAAAAAUAAAGAAAAGGGACUUUGGACAAAUGCUCUCAUUUUGUAAAUGAAAAAGUAGAGACAGGAAGAGUAACUGAUUUGUCCAAAAUCAAACAAAGUAAAUUGUGUUGCAUCCUC
This is a long non-coding RNA of Pan troglodytes (chimpanzee), 3035 nucleotides long. RefSeq lists it as uncharacterized. Lineage: Eukaryota; Metazoa; Chordata; Mammalia; Primates; Hominidae. The record is from RefSeq and is a predicted model, not a curated record. The transcript is spliced from 2 exons.